This is a non-coding RNA of Punica granatum (pomegranate), 1343 nucleotides long. The record is from RefSeq and is a predicted model, not a curated record. Lineage: Eukaryota; Viridiplantae; Streptophyta; Magnoliopsida; Myrtales; Lythraceae.
AUGUCCAUGGGUCCCCAUCAAUCAUUCCAUCAUAUCCUUACGACCAAAAGCAAGCCUAUAAUGAAUCCUAUCCAAACGUACGUUGUAUUAUAUGUAUACAGAAAGUAACAGAACAAACUCUGUUUGGUUGGGCAAGCGGUUGGUUUUCCGUCUGCUUCGGUCCAGCCCAACAUACCCACCCUAUAUGACGUCGGUCCAGUCCAACAAGGUCCCAACGACAUCGUCGAAGCAGCUUCGCGGUUCGUCUCCGAACGGGCAGAGCAGAACAGUUGUAUGGCGCAUAUACAUACAGAGUGUGCGUUUUGUAAGUAUAGGUCGGUAAAAGGAAGGAAGAACCUUCGACCGCCAUACGUUCUGGAAAUCUCUGGCAGCAUCCGAGCCUGAGCUCUCCCCCCCCCCUCCGGUUUCUCUCUGAACUUCCCAACUUCACUGUCCCAUCAUAAACCCUAACGUAUCCUUCCCCGACCGACCCGGAAACUCCCUCUGCACUCGGAGCUGAACCGUCCUCUGUCCCCGUUUCCUCGCGAUCAUGGCCACCGCGGCGCUGCUCCGCUCGCUGCGACGUCGUGACGUCGCCUCCGCCUCCUUCUCUGCUGCUCACGGCAAGUUCAUCCCUGAAAUAAAUUAUGUGUACUAAUUGGUUUGGACGUGGCAAACGUUAGGACGAAUUGGUCCUUCUGUUUGAAAAUAUGAGAGGUACCUGACGGAACCAUCCUGUAGAAGCCGUUAAUGUGCACCGUUGGUCCUUCCUGAUGUUUGGAGGAGAAGGGGAAUAACCCCGAGAGGAUCCGGGCGUCCAGCGGCUGCAGCUGCGGCUAUUGCUGUUGAUUCGCGUUGCACAUGGCUUCCAGAUCAGUAUUGAUUGUUGUUUCUGCUGUCUUUGGUUGUUCAUUUGGGGUAAUUAUUGUUCAUCACGAUGCAUAGCUACUGCUCGACAAUAUGCUCGACAAGUGCUCGACAAAAUGCAAGUGCUCAGCUGAUUCUGAUUUCCCUCAACUUCCGUCCUUGCCCUCACCUCAAUUCAGUCACCCUCAGCUCACCAUCGACAGAUCACCCCAUUCAUGCCCAUUUGGCUUCCGAAAAAAUAAAACCAAAGCUACUCCAGUCAGUGAAGAACCCUAUUUUCGCUUGUAAUUGCGAUAUCAGUUUGCCACUCUCGUUCAUUUCGUGUCAGUUUGCCAGUCUCGUUCAUUUUCACCCCGUUUUGUUUGCGAUGGAGUGAAUGUGACGGAAGUGUUAGGGGCUGUAUAUGGAGAGGUUAUGAUGAUUCAAAAGUCAAGACACAUCUAAAACUUGUUUUUAUUCCUUUGCUUGAUUGAAUUAUGCCUGGAAGUGAGUAUCUA